RNAcentral lists this long non-coding RNA (1372 nucleotides) under Coturnix japonica (Japanese quail). RNAcentral describes it as "lncRNA (ENSCJPG00005003708.1)". Lineage: Eukaryota; Metazoa; Chordata; Aves; Galliformes; Phasianidae. The record is from RNAcentral.
AUCUCAAAACAGAUCCUGGGAGCCUAAUAACUCCUCCAUGCAUCUCAUUCUGGAAAUGAGCAGCAAGACCAUGCAGCAUCCUGCUGGGCCACGCAGUCCCUCUCUGCUCUAAAGGAGGGCGAGUCACAAUUUGGCAGCAGCAAGCAUGAGUUUCCUAUCUGAAGCGGAACUGUUGUACAGAAACAUCGGCAUGUUUUGCAGUCCACAUUGUAGGUCCUGGGCAGAUACUCACACAUCUUUGAACUGUGAUAAGGAGAAUAUUAUUACCCUACUGGUGGCCUGGUCAGAUAAGUUGUUUGCGGAGGACAGUCUGCAUUUAUUUCAAGCUCUCUUUCUGCUGCACCAGUAACUCCAGAUUCCAUUCCCAACAAAAUCAGCCACUUCUUACUCGAGACUGCAAGGAGCAAUGGACAAUUUAGAGAAAGACGGCGAUUGUGCCAGCACUUCGCCUUCCUGCACAACCUUCAAGGAGGAACCUCUGUCAGGUUCCAGCAUGUUUUACCACCUGAGAGACCGGGAGAUGCUCCGGAAGAGAAAGGCGGAAGCCAAGGAGAAGGAUUCAAUUCAGUGGGCUCUAGGGGAUUAUGAGAAAAGCAAGCGUCAGAAGAAAAGCCAAGGUGCCAGGAGGGGAAGGAAGCGUGGGCAUGUAAUGAAGCCUGCACCACAGCAAAGGCCUCAGUCCCUGAAGACAGAGGAAGAUGAGACGAUGUCUUCCGUGAUUACGCAGCAAGCUGAGUCUUCCCAGAUAGAUGCGCAGGACCUGUUUUCUGGUGUGCAGCUGGCAGAUCUGGAAGGGAUAUUGGCCUCUGAGAGCCAGAGUCCCCUGGGUGAAGAGGAUAUGCUGAAACUGGCGGAUGAGUUAGAGGACGUACUGAGUUCUUCACUGGAAAAUAAUGGAUCAGAAAUUGACACAAACUCAUCAAGCCCGUUUUAAAGUUUUAUGUAACAACUAACAUAGAAUCAUAGAAUUACCCAGGUUGGAAAAGACCUUGAAGAUCAUCAAGUCCAACCACAGCCUAACCAUAGUACCCUAACUCUAACAACCCUACACUAAAUCAUAUCCCUGAGCACCACAUCCAAAUGGCUCUUAAACACAUCCAGGGAUGGCGAUUCAACCACCUCCCUGGGGAGCCUAUUCCAGCACUUAACAACCCUUUCUGUAAAGAAGUUCUUCCUAAUAUCCAACCCAAACUUACCUUGGUGCAACUUGAGGCCAUUUCCCCUCAUCCUGUCACUUGUGUAUAUUGUGUCACAUAUGUAUAUUCUUCUAGAUUUAAGACUAAGAAAUACUGAAAAGUCUUUUUAAGACACUUGAAGCUGCUCUUUCCUCAGGAACAAUAAAAAUCUCUCUGCAAUGCUUCCUGUGUUGCUU